AUGCUAAUCAUUUUCGUAAAGGAUCUUACCUUGAAUACCUUCUUCUGUCCACCUUCUCUGAAAUACAUAUAUAUCAUUAUCCAACGUUUAAUCUCCAUCCUUGCUGUGUAACUAUGCAGGGCAUCUUCCCUUCUGUUUCAGUCAACAAAAUCGCCGAUCAACACCGCUACCAUAAUUUCUUGUAAAAACCCAAUUCAAAUUUGGUGAUAUAACCUUACCUCUGUUUUUAGUUCCCUGGCCUCUUCCCAAAUCCAACUGCAGCUUUCUGUCGUCACCAAAACCAACACCCAAAUUCAGAAACACAAGUCAGCCUCACUUCUUCAAUAAUGAAACCUUAAACACCAAAUAGAUUCACAGCCAUAUACCUUAAAGCUUUAUGAGGUCUCGUAUCUUGCGUCAAAGCCCAUGAACAAGCUAGCCACCUACGACAUCGUCCUCACCAGCAACCAAUUUGUCAAAAACAUUCAGAACCCAAGCUGUCACACCCCGGUUCUUAAGUUAUUUUACGGUUAUUUACUUUGGUAUUAUUUUGGUCUUUUACCGUGUUAAGUAACCGUUUAUCACUUAAGGACCCUAGAGUUGACUUUUUCUUGUGUUUGGAAUUUGGGAAAACUUUCUUCAUAAAAGUGAUAGAGGACGUUAUUACGAGUUCGUAGACAUGCUAUGUGUUAAAAUCGGAAUUAGCAUGAAAAAGUUAUGAUUUAAAAGAGUAAUUUUUGGAGAUGGUAAAAAUGUGGUAAAAAAAUGUAGUGGGUGUAAUUUUUUUCAGUUGGGUUAUUGCUAGCCAGCUGAGGAGCAGCCCAAGACCCCCCCCCC
Molecule: long non-coding RNA, 816 nt
Filed under: Fragaria vesca (wild strawberry)
Lineage: Eukaryota; Viridiplantae; Streptophyta; Magnoliopsida; Rosales; Rosaceae
Description: long non-coding RNA (FVES_LNC002492)
Source: RNAcentral